AGCGAACGCUGGCGGCAGGCUUAACACAUGCAAGUCGAACGGGCACUCCCGGCUCAGCGGCGGACGGGUGAGUAACACGUGGGAACGAACCCGUUGGUUCGGAAUAACGCAGUGAAGGUUGCCCUCAUACAGGAUACGCCAUUACGGGGUAGGGCUUGCUGCCGCAGGCUCGGCCCGGGACUGAUUCGCUGUGUGGUGGUGUACUGGCCUCUCAAGGCGAGGUUGAGGAGCUGGUCUGUUAGGAUGACCAGUACCACUGGGACUGCGACACGGCCCACACUCGGAGGGGAGGCAGCAGUGGGUAAUAUUGGGCAAGGAGCGCAGGCCUGACCCAGCCACGCCGCGGGUGUGAGGAAGGCGUUAGGGUUGUAAAGCUCUUUUGUCCGGGACGAUAAUGACGGUACCGGAAGAAUAAGCCCCGGCUAACUUCGUG
This 433-nucleotide ribosomal RNA is filed under the name uncultured bacterium. RNAcentral describes it as "partial 16S ribosomal RNA". It matches the Rfam family "Bacterial small subunit ribosomal RNA", at positions 28 to 507 of the family's 1533-position model. The record is from RNAcentral.